UACGAAGGGGGCUAGCGUUGCUCGGAAUCACUGGGCGUAAAGCGCACGUAGGCGGCUUCUUAAGUCGGUGGUGAAAUCCUGGAGCUCAACUCCAGAACUGCCUUCGAUACUGAGAGUCUUGAGUUCGGGAGAGGUGAGUGGAACUGCGAGUGUAGAGGUGAAAUUCGUAGAUAUUCGCAAGAACACCAGUGGCGAAGGCGGCGCACUGGCCCGAUACUGACGCUGAGGUGCGAAAGCGUGGGGAGCAAACAGG
Molecule: ribosomal RNA, 253 nt
Filed under: uncultured bacterium
Lineage: Bacteria
Description: partial 16S ribosomal RNA
Rfam family: Bacterial small subunit ribosomal RNA
Source: RNAcentral